This 460-nucleotide ribosomal RNA is filed under the name uncultured bacterium. Its description in RNAcentral is "partial 16S ribosomal RNA". It matches the Rfam family "Bacterial small subunit ribosomal RNA", at positions 338 to 795 of the family's 1533-position model. The record is from RNAcentral.
CCUACGGGAGGCAGCAGUGAGGAAUAUUGGUCAAUGGACGAGAGUCUGAACCAGCCAAGUAGCGUGAAGGAUGACUGCCCUAUGGGUUGUAAACUUCUUUUAUAUGGGAAUAAAAUGUUCCACGUGUGGGAUUUUGUAUGUACCAUAUGAAUAAGGAUCGGCUAACUCCGUGCCAGCAGCCGCGGUAAUACGGAGGAUCCGAGCGUUAUCCGGAUUUAUUGGGUUUAAAGGGAGCGUAGGUGGAUUGUUAAGUCAGUUGUGAAAGUUUUCGGCUCAACCGUAAAAUUGCAGUUGAAACUGGCAGUCUUGAGUACAGUAGAGGUGGGCGGAAUUCGUGGUGUAGCGGUGAAAUGCUUAGAUAUCACGAAGAACUCCGAUUGCGAAGGCAGUUCACUGGACUGCAACUGACACUGAGGCUCGAAAGUGUGGGUAUCAAACAGGAUUAGAUACCCGUGUAGUC